Molecule: non-coding RNA, 76 nt
Organism: Clostridiales bacterium 41_12_two_minus
Lineage: Bacteria; Bacillati; Bacillota; Clostridia; Eubacteriales
Source: Rfam
CCUGUACUCACUGUCCAGCCACAGACUCAAGCAAUGGGGGCAGCUCGGAGAGAUCCUCGGAGGGGUGAGAUUCCCG